This 327-nucleotide ribosomal RNA is filed under the name uncultured eukaryote. Its description in RNAcentral is "partial 18S ribosomal RNA". It matches the Rfam family "Eukaryotic small subunit ribosomal RNA", at positions 1470 to 1796 of the family's 1831-position model. The record is from RNAcentral.
CCCUUAGAUGUCCUGGGCCGCACGCGCGCUACACUGAUGCAUGCAACGAGUCUAGAACCUUGGCCGGAAGGCCUGGGUAAUCUGUGAACGUGCAUCGUGAUAGGGAUAGAUUAUUGCAAUUAUUAAUCUUGAACGAGGAAUUCCUAGUAAACGCAAGUCAUCAGCUUGCAUUGAUUACGUCCCUGCCCUUUGUACACACCGCCCGUCGCACCUACCGAUCGAAGGUAAUGAUGAGCCCUCAGGAUUGUGGCCGGGACGCGUUCGCGCGACCUGUGCCGUGAGAAUUUGUGCAAAUCCCUACCUUUAGAGGAAGGUGAAGUCGUAACA